UGAUACGUAGGGUGCGAGCGUUGUCGGAUUUAUUGGGCGUAAAGGGCUCGUAGGUGGUUGAUCGCGUCGGAAGUGUAAUCUUGGGGCUUAACCCUGAGCGUGCUUUCGAUACGGGUUGACUUGAGGAAGGUAGGGGAGAAUGGAAUUCCUGGUGGAGCGGUGGAAUGCGCAGAUAUCAGGAGGAACACCAGUGGCGAAGGCGGUUCUCUGGGCCUUUCCUGACGCUGAGGAGCGAAAGCGUGGGGAGCGAACAGGCUUAGAUACCCUGGUAGUCCACGCUGUAAACGGUGGGUACUAGGUGUGGGGUCCAUUCCACGGGUUCCGUGCCGUAGCUAACGCUUUAAGUACCCCGCCUGGGGAGUACGGCCGCAAGGCUAAAACUCAAAGGAAUUGACGGGGCCCCGCACAAGCGGCGGAGCAUGCGGAUUAAUUCGAUGCAACGCGUAGAACCUUACCUGGGUUUGACAUGGAUCGGGAGCGCUCAGAGAUGGGUGUGCCUCUUUUGGGGUCGGUUCACAGGUGGUGCAUGGCUGUCGUCAGCUCGUGUCGUGAGAUGUUGGGUUAAGUCCCGCAACGAGCGCAACCCUUGUUCACUGUUGCCAGCACGUUAUGGUGGGGACUCAGUGGAGACCGCCGGGGUCAACUCGGAGGAAGGUGGGGAUGACGUCAAGUCAUCAUGCCCCUUAUGUCCAGGGCUUCACGCAUGCUACAAUGGCUGGUACAGAGAGUGGCGAGCCUGUGAGGGUGAGCGAAUCUCGGAAAGCCGGUCUCAGUUCGGAUUGGGGUCUGCAACUCGACCUCAUGAAGUCGGAGUCGCUAGUAAUCGCAGAUCAGCAACGCUGCGGUGAAUACGUUCCCGGGGCUUGUACACACCGCCCGUCAAGUCAUUAAAGUUGGUAA
RNAcentral lists this ribosomal RNA (900 nucleotides) under Cutibacterium acnes. Its description in RNAcentral is "bacterial SSU rRNA". It matches the Rfam family "Bacterial small subunit ribosomal RNA", at positions 521 to 1417 of the family's 1533-position model. Lineage: Bacteria; Bacillati; Actinomycetota; Actinomycetes; Propionibacteriales; Propionibacteriaceae. The record is from RNAcentral.